CGUAGCCGUAUGCGGGAAAACCGCUUGUACGGUUGCAAAGAGGGCUAGGACUGGCGACAGUUCCUUUCUACUCUAAG
RNAcentral lists this non-coding RNA (77 nucleotides) under Desulfovibrio sp. U5L. Lineage: Bacteria; Pseudomonadati; Thermodesulfobacteriota; Desulfovibrionia; Desulfovibrionales; Desulfovibrionaceae. The record is from RNAcentral.